This 484-nucleotide ribosomal RNA is filed under the name Streptococcus mutans. RNAcentral describes it as "bacterial SSU rRNA". It matches the Rfam family "Bacterial small subunit ribosomal RNA", at positions 28 to 488 of the family's 1533-position model. Lineage: Bacteria; Bacillati; Bacillota; Bacilli; Lactobacillales; Streptococcaceae. The record is from RNAcentral.
GACGAACGCUGGCGGCGUGCCUAAUACAUGCAAGUGGGACGCAAGAGAACACACUGUGCUUGCACACCGUGUUUUCUUGAGUCGCGAACGGGUGAGUAACGCGUAGGUAACCUGCCUAUUAGCGGGGGAUAACUAUUGGAAACGAUAGCUAAUACCGCAUAAUAUUAAUUAUUGCAUGAUAAUUGAUUGAAAGAUGCAAGCGCAUCACUAGUAGAUGGACCUGCGUUGUAUUAGCUAGUUGGUAAGGUAAGAGCUUACCAAGGCGACGAUACAUAGCCGACCUGAGAGGGUGAUCGGCCACACUGGGACUGAGACACGGCCCAGACUCCUACGGGAGGCAGCAGUAGGGAAUCUUCGGCAAUGGACGAAAGUCUGACCGAGCAACGCCGCGUGAGUGAAGAAGGUUUUCGGAUCGUAAAGCUCUGUUGUAAGUCAAGAACGUGUGUGAGAGUGGAAAGUUCACACAGUGACGGAGCUACCAGAA